RNAcentral lists this long non-coding RNA (338 nucleotides) under Elaeis guineensis (African oil palm). RNAcentral's name for it is "long non-coding RNA (EGUI_LNC048123)". The record is from RNAcentral. Lineage: Eukaryota; Viridiplantae; Streptophyta; Magnoliopsida; Arecales; Arecaceae.
GAUGCUGUGGAUUGGAGAUGGGGUUGGGCUCAAUAUUUCAGAUACGGUGAGAGUCCCAAUGAUGGAUCUAUUUUACGCAAAAAGUAGUUCUGAUUUAAUUAAGGAGUGGGCCAAUAUUUUGGAUAUGGUGAAACUCAUGAAUGAGAGACCGAAGUUGGCUGCAACAUGUUUGGAGAAACACUGAAGAAGAGUUGUCCACUUAUUAAUUGACCCAACACCAAUAACUAUUAGGUAAGGUAGUGAGUCAAUUGGUGAGACCACAGCACCCACUUAAGACUCUUAAUCAUGGAGGUUUUUGCUUUUCUUCCAAGGGAGUGUGGGGAACUGAGAAAACAGUG